ACUCCUGCGGGAGGCAGCAGUGGGGAAUUUUGGACACUGGGCGAAAGCCUGAUCCAGCAAUGCCGCGUGAGUGAAGAAGGCCUUCGGGUUGUAAAGCUCUUUUGUCAGGGAAGAAACGGUGAAAGCUAAUAUCUUUUGCUAAUGACGGUACCUGAAGAAUAAGCACCGGCUAACUACGUGCCAGCAGCCGCGGUAAUACGUAGGGUGCAAGCGUUAAUCGGAAUUACUGGGCGUAAAGCGUGCGCAGGCGGUUUUGUAAGUCUGAUGUGAAAUCCCCGGGCUCAACCUGGGAAUUGCAUUGGGGACUGCAAGGCUAGAAUCUGGCAGAGGGGGGUAGAAUUCCACGUGUAGCAGUGAAAUGCGUAGAUAUGUGGAGGAACACCGAUGGCGAAGGCAGCCCCCUGGGUCAAGAUUGACGCUCAUGCACGAAAGCGUGGGGAGCAAACAGGAUUAGAUACCCGUGUAGUCCCAUGAU
This 475-nucleotide ribosomal RNA is filed under the name uncultured organism. RNAcentral's name for it is "partial 16S ribosomal RNA". It matches the Rfam family "Bacterial small subunit ribosomal RNA", at positions 335 to 801 of the family's 1533-position model. The record is from RNAcentral.